UUUUUCUGGGUGGCCGGCAGCCGCGGUAAUUCCAGCUCCAAUAGGUAUAUUUAAGUUGUUGCAGUUAAAAAGCUCGUAGUUGGAUUUCGGGUGCGUCGACGCGGUCUGCCUCUGGUAUGUACUGCGCUCGGUGCACCUUUCUGCUGGGGACGGGCUCCUGGGCUUAACUGCUUGGGACCUGGAAUCAGCGAAGUGACCUUGAGCAAACAAGAGUGUUCAAAGCAAGCCGACGCUCUGAAUUUUUUAGCAUGGAAUCACACGAUAGGACUCUGGCCUAUCUUGUUGGUCUGUAGGACCGGAGUAAUGAUUAAGAGGGACAGUCGGGGGCAUUCGUAUUUCAUUGUCAGAGGUGAAAUUCUUGGAUUUAUGAAAGACGAACUUCUGCGAAAGCAUUUGCCAAGGAUGUUUUCAUUGAUCAAGAACGAAAGUUGGGGGCUCGAAGACGAUUAGAUACCGUCGUAGUCUCAACCAUAAACGAUGCCGACUAGGGAUUGGCAGGUGUUCCAUUGAUGACCCUGCCAGCACCUUAUGAGAAAUCAAAGUUUUUGGGUUCCGGGGGGAGUAUGGUCGCAAGGCUGAAACUUAAAGGAAUUGACGGAAGGGCACCACCAGGCGUGGAGCCUGCGGCUUAAUUUGACUCAACACGGGGAAACUUACCAGGUCCAGACACGGGGAGGAUUGACAGAUUGAGAGCUCUUUCUUGAUUCUGUGGGUGGUGGUGCAUGGCCGUUCUUAGUUGGUGGGUUGCCUUGUCAGGUUGAUUCCGGUAACGAACGAGACCUCAGCCUGCUAAAUAGUCACGGGUACCUUGGUACACGCCUGACUUCUUAGAGGGACUAUUGGCGUUCUAUUCAAAGGAAAUGUCACACG
RNAcentral lists this ribosomal RNA (870 nucleotides) under Chlamydomonas sp. GUEco1005. Its description in RNAcentral is "SSU rRNA". It matches the Rfam family "Eukaryotic small subunit ribosomal RNA", at positions 556 to 1452 of the family's 1831-position model. The record is from RNAcentral. Lineage: Eukaryota; Viridiplantae; Chlorophyta; Chlorophyceae; Chlamydomonadales; Chlamydomonadaceae.